Long non-coding RNA from Solanum pennellii, 1722 nucleotides. RefSeq lists it as uncharacterized. The transcript is spliced from 2 exons. Lineage: Eukaryota; Viridiplantae; Streptophyta; Magnoliopsida; Solanales; Solanaceae. The record is from RefSeq and is a predicted model, not a curated record.
AAGAAGUGAAGGGGUAAAUAGUUGUGUUAAUGUAUGAUAAUCGUUCAAGCCACUUAAGGUUUCCUCCCUUAUAGCCAUACCAAACUGGGCUAUGAUGACUGAAAAAGAUCUCAACGGAACCAAGAGCCCAUCGAAGCACCUGGUUGAGACGAUCUGAUAGAUUGAUUGGAGCAGACCCCUUAAAUGCAGCUAAUUUAGGCAUACAAUAGACUGACCUCCAACCACGGCAGUGCAUCUUGAAACCUGUUAAGAUAUCCUCUGUGAUAGAACCGUAUAUCCAUCCCAGCUGCAAGUUCAAAAGCAGUUACUUCAAUCAAAGAUAUUCAUAAAGGGCGUUCAUAGCACCAGCCUUUUUGUGAUGCUGGAAACCAGGCCUUUUUUCACGAGAAACAUAAACAAGACGAGGGAGUUCAUGUCCAUCCACAUCAGUUCCUCCACUUUGGCCUAAAAAGACUUGAAUCAUACCAGGAUGAUCCCUGGUAUUAUUUCCUGGCCAUGGUGUUCCAUCUUGCAUGAUCCAACCUCCGGGAGGCAUUUUAGUUGCUUUGGCAACUAGUGCAUUGAUUCUUACCUUGAAUUCUUCGUACUCUCUCUGUCAAGUACAAUGAGAUUUGUAACUUGUGACAUGGAAAAUUCUAUGUAGCACUAGCUGAUGAAAGCAAGUGUUCAAGCUUUACCUUCAUUGCUCGUCUCUCCUUAACGAAUGUUGGCUGGAUUUUGUCCUUGAGAUAAUCAAUCUUUAGGGAGAAGUAAAAUUCUGGAGCUCGAGGCUCUAUAGCAAACUUCUUGCAGAAGGGAACCCAUUUUCUAGCAAAUUCUGCAGUUUCUGAUAGUGCUUCAAAGGUGCACAUUGAAGCUCCAUCAUCAGAUAGGUAACAUGAAAUUUUGUCAACAGGGUAAUCCAUUGCUAAUAUUGAGAGGAUUGUAUUAGCUGUAACAAGAGGAGGUUCCUUCAUAGGAUCCACUGUACUGACGAAGACAUCUACCGGGGCUAGCAUAUUUGGUUCUCCUUCCCUCUCAUACCUACAUCAAAAUUUUGGUCAGUGAUGUAUUUCUCUAGUUGUAAAGUUUUAUCUUGAAAAGAUUGCUAGAACUUUAAGAAGCCUCUCGAAAAUGAUUUGACUUGCAGCUCUUGUACAGAAGAUUUUGUGAAAACAAGGUGUAUGUUGGAAAUUAACUUGGCAACUCUAUUGGUUUUAUGUCCAUGCUUAAGGAUUAACUUCUUUUUUGUAUUAGGAGCACAGACUUGCAAAGAAUUGUCACCUGAGAGAGAGACGAUCAAGGUAAGUCUCACGGUCGAUAGGGAACCAUUUGGGAAACUGAUCAAGGAUCCAAGAGAAGGCAAACCAGAUCUCACAGAUGAUAGAAGUUAACCAGAGACCAAUCGCAUCAUGCACUGGAUUCAGAAUUCUAUAACGAAGGAAGACGGCCAGAAUCACCAGCCUAGCUACAAUCACCAUCCGGUAAGGAUUGAUCUUGCUUGAUGCUAUUGGCACUUUUCUUGAUAAAGGCUGUCUUGCUUCAUCCACCCUGCAUUUUCUCACAUCGAUUAGCUGAGAGCAUGUUGCACUUUGUAUUAACUAUUUUAAGCAUCGAAUUAUGUGUUUGAGAAGAAAUCACUGCAAUCAAGUGAAUCUGAUAGUUAUUAGUAAUAGCUAUACCCAAAAAAAAUUCUAACUAUACAUUUCUGUAUAUCUACAAGUGCAUUCUCGUUUUCACUAA